Molecule: ribosomal RNA, 933 nt
Filed under: uncultured Lentimicrobium sp.
Lineage: Bacteria; Pseudomonadati; Bacteroidota; Bacteroidia; Bacteroidales; Lentimicrobiaceae
Description: bacterial SSU rRNA
Rfam family: Bacterial small subunit ribosomal RNA
Source: RNAcentral
AGAGUUUGAUCCUGGCUCAGGAUGAACGCUAGCGGCAGGCUUAAUACAUGCAAGUCGAACGGGAUUCGGGGUAGCAAUACUUUGAUGAGAGUGGCGCACGGGUGCGUAACGCGUAUGCAACCUACCUUUAACAGGGGAAUAGCCCCGAGAAAUCGGGAUUAAUACUCCGUAACAUUGCGGUGUGGCAUCACACUGCAAUUAAAGAUUUAUCGGUUAAAGAUGGGCAUGCGUGACAUUAGCUAGUUGGUGAGGUAACGGCUCACCAAGGCAACGAUGUCUAGGGGUCCUGAGAGGGUUAUCCCCCACACUGGUACUGAGACACGGACCAGACUCCUACGGGAGGCAGCAGUAAGGAAUAUUGGUCAAUGGGCGCAAGCCUGAACCAGCCAUGCCGCGUGCAGGAAGACGGCCCUAUGGGUUGUAAACUGCUUUUAUCAGGGAAUAAACCCCCGCUCGUGAGCGGGGCUGAAGGUACCUGAAGAAUAAGCAUCGGCUAACUCCGUGCCAGCAGCCGCGGUAAUACGGAGGAUGCAAGCGUUAUCCGGAUUCAUUGGGUUUAAAGGGUGCGCAGGCGGAUUGGUAAGUCAGGGGUGAAAUCCCACAGCUCAACUGUGGAACUGCCUUUGAUACUGUCAGUCUAGAGUAUAGUUGAAGUUGGCGGAAUGUGUCAUGUAGCGGUGAAAUGCUUAGAUAUGACACAGAACACCGAUCGCGAAGGCAGCUAGCUAAGCUAUAACUGACGCUCAUGCACGAAAGCGUGGGGAUCAAACAGGAUUAGAUACCCUGGUAGUCCACGCUGUAAACGAUGAUUACUCGAUGUUGGCGAUACACAGUCAGCGUCUGAGCGAAAGCAAUAAGUAAUCCACCUGGGGGAGUACGAUCGCAAGAUUGAAACUCAAAGGGAUUUGACGGGGGGCCCGCACAAGCGGAGGA